UAGUAACUGCGAGUGAAGAGGGAAAAGCUCAAAUUUAAAAUCUGGCGGGCUCUGUCCGUCCGAGUUGUAAUCUGGAGAAGCGUUUUCCGCGUCGGACCGUGCAUAAGUCUCCUGGAACGGAGCGUCAUAGAGGGUGAGAAUCCCGUCCAUGGCACGGACCGCCGAUGCUUUGUGAUACGUUUUCAAAGAGUCGAGUUGUUUGGGAAUGCAGCUCAAAAUGGGUGGUAAAUUCCAUCUAAAGCUAAAUAUUGGCGAGAGACCGAUAGCGAACAAGUACCGUGAGGGAAAGAUGAAAAGCACUUUGGAAAGAGAGUUAAACAGUACGUGAAAUUGUUGAAAGGGAAACGCUUGAAGUCAGUCGCGUCCGACGGAACUCAGCCUUGCUUCGGCCUGGUGUACUUUCUGUCGGACGGGUCAACAUCAGUUUUGACCGGUGGAGAAAGGUAGGGGGAAUGUAGCGCUGUUUCGGCGGCGUGUUAUAGCCYCUUGCUGYAUGCAUCGGUUGGGACUGAGGACCGCAGCACGCCUUUUUGGCCGGGGGUUCGCCCCACGUACCGUGCUUAGGAUGUUGGCAUAAUGGCUUUAAGCGACCCGUCUUGAAACACGGACCAAGGAGUCCAACAUGCUUGCGAGUGUUCGGGUGGAAAACCCUUGCGCGUAAUGAAAGUAACAGUUGGGAACCUCCGCAAGGGGGUGCACCGACGCCCGGCCCUGAAGUUCUCUGACGGUGCUGCGGUAGAGCAAGUAUGCUGGGACCCGAAAGAUGGUGAACUAUGCCUGAAUAGGGCGAAGCCAGAGGAAACUCUGGUGGAGGCUCGUAGCGAUUCUGACGUGCAAAUCGAUCGUC
Molecule: ribosomal RNA, 847 nt
Filed under: Phellinus betulinus
Lineage: Eukaryota; Fungi; Basidiomycota; Agaricomycetes; Hymenochaetales; Hymenochaetaceae
Description: eukaryotic LSU rRNA
Rfam family: Eukaryotic large subunit ribosomal RNA
Source: RNAcentral